UAUCAGAUGAGGUGCUAGUUGCUACUGUAUGCGUUUACAGUUAAUCUCUCUGUCUCGUUGUUUAACAGCCAAGAUGAUGUGUUGUACACUUACAAUUCAUGCUGAUGCUAGCUGGUCGUUUCCAACUGGCUCCGAUUUUCACCUCUACCUGGUGCUGGCCUCGGAGCCUCCGCCAUGCUGCCAGUAUAGCUAGCUCAGUUCUCCCUCUGCAUUUUUUAAUUCCAUCUGAUUUUCAGCAAUUUUUGUUACUCUAUCUUCUUUGAAGUGUUUUUGUUUGCCACAAUGUCUGUCGUAGCAGAAUUCGUAUAUUUGGUAGCUUGGUAGAGUUAGCAUUCCAUUUUACUGUUAAAUUCAUCCAGUUGCACGACAGAUAGAAUAUCUUAAAACUCAUUUUGCAUGGUAAACAUUAGACAUUUUCAGCUUGAGCUUUGCAUAAUUAAUAUUCUGAAACAAGAAAAUGUAUUCCAAGAAUCUUGGGACGGGGUCCAGGAUUUUUUCUGUUCAAGCUGGAGCAACAAUGAGACUGUAGAAUGGCACCUAUGAAGUUGAAGUGAGUGAACAGCCCAACCAUUUCCUGUUGUGGAUGGAGCAAGACUCGAGUACUGACCAUGAUGUUGGGAUCUGAAGUGGAGCUGGAAGCAGAGGGAUCCCCUUUGAGUUCCCAAUGCCUCAACAAUCACAAGUGUCAUGUCUGAAGGGAUCAUACUGAUAAAAUGAUUGAACUGUGCAGAAGUAGAGGAAUAUUCAAUAAAGUACAGAAGACGCACCUCUAAGCUGCAAUGACACCAGACUAGAGAAGAUGCACCACUAAUUAGAUUCGUCCAGUGCAAGAGAAACCAGAUGGUUUCUCCGUGUUAUAGAUGUACGGACUUUUUGGAUUCGUCACUGACCUUUCAAUGUUCCAACGAUCUUGGAACAAGCUACAACAUCAUUUCCACGGCUGCGACGCCACCAAUCCAGGGUUUACAUGUGACACUUGCUGGUUGGCCCUGGUUCCCAUUCCUAGAUGAUGUUAGUUCUUCCCCAUGGAACUGAUCGAGUUCAUGCCAAAUUCUAUUUUCUUGGAGCCUAAAAUCUUCCAGUUUGUAGAACAUGAGGUGGCUGCAUUUUGCACCAUUCACUGGGCCAUCGCAUGAUCUGCUUGUGCUAUGUACAAUUAUCAAUAUAUUGCUGCCAGUAUAUUCUGUAAUUCCUUGUAACUGAAGAACAGGAAGACAUGCUACUGUGCAAGCCAAUGGAACUUGUGCUGUUGUUCAGUAGCCGGAUAUGACUGUUCUGUUUUCCACAUGUAACAUUAUAUCAACAUACCAUCGGCUUUGUGGUUUUCGCUGGUUUCACUUUGCAAUUAAAUUGCAGUUUCCUC
This is a long non-coding RNA of Triticum aestivum (bread wheat), 1363 nucleotides long. RefSeq lists it as uncharacterized. The transcript is spliced from 3 exons. The record is from RefSeq and is a predicted model, not a curated record. NCBI's taxonomy places the organism in Eukaryota, Viridiplantae, Streptophyta, Magnoliopsida, Poales, Poaceae.